Molecule: ribosomal RNA, 253 nt
Filed under: uncultured bacterium
Lineage: Bacteria
Description: partial 16S ribosomal RNA
Rfam family: Bacterial small subunit ribosomal RNA
Source: RNAcentral
UACGUAGGGAGCAAGCGUUGUCCGGAAUCAUUGGGCGUAAAGCGCGCGUAGGUGGCUUCGUAAGUCCGUUGUGAAAGUCAAAGGCUCAACCUUUGAAAGCCGAUGGAUACUGCGGAGCUGAGUGACGGAAGAGGCGAGUGGAAUUCCUGGUGUAGAGGUGAAAUUCGUAGAUAUUGGGAAGAACACCGGUGGCGAAGGCGGCUCACUGGCUCAUAUCUGACGCUCAGGCGCGACAGCGUGGGGAUCAAACAGG